Molecule: long non-coding RNA, 1921 nt
Filed under: Gallus gallus (chicken)
Lineage: Eukaryota; Metazoa; Chordata; Aves; Galliformes; Phasianidae
Source: RNAcentral
CGAAACCGCACGGGAUUGAUUCCCCACGUGCCGGCUCCUGCUGCACCCCGAGAUGUGGUAACGAGGAGCCGAGAGCGGCAGCGGGACCCCGCGGGUGCCCCCUCCUCAGCGCGGGGCCAGCGGGGUCACGGCGGCGGUGCUGACCCUUACGGACCCCCCUCCCGUAACCUACAGACGCGGAGGGAAUUUCCAUGCGAUUCUCAUAUGACCUCCUGCUCACUGUGCUCCGGCUGUAAUGGAUGGGCGUUUGUGGUCUGGUACCAGGAAGGGUUCAUCCAACUGUGAAAUUUCAGAAAUCCUACACCAAAGUAUUUUAAACUGGCAAAUACAGCCAAGGAAGCACACCGUGGCUUUCGUUUUGAGAUCUUGUGCACCCACGGUGGUGCAGAACAUCCUCCAGCAUACGGUUCCCUGCUUGUUCUCCUGGAGAAGCUCACGCAACCUCAGUCCCAGAGGCAGCACCUAAAGUUGACAUAAAAGCUGGAAUACACUGACAAACAUAGAACGCACCAUGUUCAGUUGUAACGGAACAGCUCUAUCCGUGCUUUCUUUGCCUCAGUACCCCUUUCCAGCUCACCUUCUCUUGUUGUGAAGACCAGAUGAGCUCCUUGAGAACCAAGACAGAGCCAGGAACAGGAUAUUGACACCCGGAGAGCAACUGAAACCUUAAUGAGAAAACCUAUUGUGUUGUAUACGGCCUGCCUUCCUGCAAGGUGCUGCACACGGGACCUUCUUGUCUUCUCGUUGUGUGCCCUCAUGGACGUACCUUCAUCAUCAUUCGUUAUAGAGAAGACGUAAGUUUGAAAGGGUUUACCACCACAGUUUCGAGUUAAUCUUCCUCUUUUGAAUGGAACAAUGGGAUUAGAAACCCAGAAAUAAGGAAAUUUAUGGAAGGGCUUGAAGCUCCUGGAAACUUCCAGCUCGGUAAGUGUUCCCAAACAGCUGGGUUUGUUCUAACACGCAGACACACCAACACACCCUGAGACGGCUGGUUGUGAACUUUCUCUAGGUUGUGUUUCCGUUCCUUGCUGCCCCUUCCUGCAGCGAUAUUGUUGGGUGUUUUCUUUGUUGCCCUCAGUCGGUAUCAGCAAAACUCCAGUGACUGUAACUGAUAUUUGAAAAUUCUCCCUGUGUCAUGCGAAGACUUACCGCGCUGAAAUCAAUAAGACUGUUUAAAAUUCAAAGACCUGCAAAUCGUUCUGUUUGUCCUUUGAUAGGGCCUGGGCUGAUUAAAAUGCGACCAAGAAAGCUUAAUUGCUGCACUAAUUAAGAAGUCUUUAAUUUCUUUCCUGGAAUAUUGUUUGAAGCUGGGUUUCUGCUCUGCACAUAGCACUGUUCAGGGCAGGGAUUCGCUCUGCUUCUCUGUCUCUUUUUUUCUUUUGACAAUUUCAGUAUAAUAAAAUGUAUGUUAAAGCAGUAAGAUGUAUUGACAAUGAUUGUAAUUUAUUACUCAAAAAAAAAAAAAAAAGAAGACUGAUACAGGGUUCACUAUUGUAUUAAAUUACAAUUUUGAGGGCAGCUGUAAAGGGUGAAAUGAAAUUAGAAAAUGCAUUGUAGUUGUUGCGUUUCAAGGAAUCUGAGUACCUGACUGACAGGAGGUCGGGCAGCACACCAGUACCUCCCGUUUCUUCUCUUAGUAUUGAUAAUUAAAGAUUUUAAUUCAUUCAGGGAAAAAGGAAAAAAAAGAAAAAGAAAAGAGAGAUACAUGUGUGCUGAGUGAAUGUGAAGGAAUGGACGGGGGGAUGCGCAGCGGACAGGCACAUGGUGGGGAUGAAUUGUGCAUCAUCACAUUAACUUCGUGUACAAUAUUUUUCCCUGCAUUUCUUUUGACUUCAUUCCUCCAAAAAAAAAAAAAAGCAUUUCUCUCUUGUGUCUUGUCUUAUGCUUUUCGGUGACUUGUUUUGUUCCCCAGUUUCCAAAG